This 1571-nucleotide long non-coding RNA is filed under the name Homo sapiens (human). RNAcentral's name for it is "PAQR5 divergent transcript, transcript variant 2 (PAQR5-DT)". The record is from RNAcentral. Lineage: Eukaryota; Metazoa; Chordata; Mammalia; Primates; Hominidae.
AUUCCACAGCCUGAGGUGCCACCAAAGCCAUAAGCCCAGGGGAGUCUCUCACACCCCAUUCUCCUAGGGCCCAUGUACCCCACGCCCACCUCCACCCCAGGAGCCGAAGGCCGGCAGGGAGCCUGGAGAGCCUCCUUGAUGGGAGAACUGCGGAGCUUGCCCCUCGGAAAAGUGCAUGGGGUGGAGAACAGGGAAGGAGAAAAAAACAACAACUGGGUACUCGCAGCCCCACCGCGGUGUCCGCUUCGCCGGUGGGAGAGGAUCCUCGCCGCCCUGAAUCCUUGAAAUCCUUGCCGAGCAUCUGCUCUGUACAGGCCGUGUACUAAGUGCUAGAGAGAUGGUGUGGGGUAGAUAAUGGCUUCCAGAGAUGUUCACGUCCUGAUCCACAGAUCCUGACAUCAUGACCUCCAGUGUGCAUUCAACCUAACAGAGCUGCUAAACUCAUUGCCUUUCUGCUCUGCCUCUCCUCUCUCCUGCAACACCCUCUCUGUCUCAUAAAUAUAGUCACAAUUUUCUCAUGGUUUAAGCCAAGAAACAGUUAAAAACUCUAAAGUCUUUUAUCCAAUGCAUUAAAAAACUGAGAUACUAAAUUAGAUAAGUUGUUAUCCGGUAGAACUCACGAAAGAAUCAAAUGUUCUCGACAAAAUUUAGAACAAAAUUUGACCCUGGAAAAUGGAGGUGAUAGAAAUAAAGUCCACAAAAGGAAACUUGCCACGGCAGCAGCUAUCAUUGGUGAAAGUUGAUAUUGACAAAAAUCGAUCUAUGAACCACAGUUCUGAUAUAAAAUUCAAAUGAAAAAGAAUUGGUCCCAAUGAAAAUAAUUUCAGUCCAUUGGAAAUGAAAAAGUGGAAAAAUUGGAAAUAGUUUAACCGAGCUUUUUACAGAAUUGAUCAAGGAAUUAAAUUGACUUAAUGGAGUCCAUUCUGGAAAACCCUUUCCCAAGAAAAAUUCAUCAGUCAGAGAACUUCUGAGUUACAUAUUUGUAUUAAAAAUAUCUCCAUAGGCUGGGUGCAGUGGCUCAUGCAUGUAAUCCCAGCACUUUGGGAGGCCGAGGCAGGCGAAUCACUUGAGGUCAGGAGUUCGAGACCAGCCUGGCCAACAUGGUGGCAGACGCCUGUAAUCUCAGCUAUUUGCGAAGCAGGGGAAUCGCUUGAACCCAGAAGGUGGAGGUUGCAGUGAGCCGAGAUCACGCCACUGCACUCCAGCCUGGGUGAAAGAGCGAGACUCCGUGUCAACAACAACAAAAACAACAAUAUCUCCAUAGGUAUUUGGUAGUAAAAAUGAAAAAAAGAGAGAAAAAUGUCUCCAGUGGAUCCUCCAUGAGAUUUUCAUGAAGAACCCAGGAGUGCUGGUCUGUGGUGGGAGCUUCACCCGGGAGGAGUAGAGAGGGCUGGGAGAGGGUGAUGUCUGGUACCUUUGGGCCCCUCUCCAUAAAAAUGUAGAAAAAAUUAGAUUAUAUGACUGCAUAGAUAUACAGAUGAAUGCAAUUCAGGCUGGAUUCCUUAUUUUAGAUUCAUUGUUAUUAUGUUCUUUUAUUCUUCUGAUUUUAAAAUAAAUUAAAAUUAAACAUU